UAUAGCUCAAAACACAAUGAUUAGUAAAUUGGAUCACUUACUACCCUUAGAUUUAAAGUACUCACUUCAACUUUCAAUAUCUCCUUUAUUCUAACUUAGAAUCUAUUAGACAAUAUGCCAAAAGUAUAGCCAAUAAAAUUUUCUCUCUAAUCCUAGUCACCAAUCCUUUAUUUCUUUCUAUACGCAUGCGUUAUGUUCAAAUGAAUGGCAAUAAGUACAAAAUCAACACCUUAACUUUGAAUGCACAUAUCUCUUUUAUAUAAACUCCAAAUUACAUAAAAUUUAUACCAAAAUUAUAGCCAAAAAUCUAAAAUUACUGAAUCUAGCCUCCAAAGCUCAAAUGGUCCUAAAAGAAUAACCCUAAUUCCUAAUAAGGCCUCAGAUAGCCUCCUUGAAUUCCAUUGGAUAUGAUUUUUAGCCAAUAGGAAUGGAGAUUUUUAUCAUC
Molecule: long non-coding RNA, 445 nt
Filed under: Physcomitrium patens
Lineage: Eukaryota; Viridiplantae; Streptophyta; Bryopsida; Funariales; Funariaceae
Description: long non-coding RNA (PPAT_LNC012159)
Source: RNAcentral